RNAcentral lists this ribosomal RNA (444 nucleotides) under uncultured bacterium. Its description in RNAcentral is "bacterial SSU rRNA". It matches the Rfam family "Bacterial small subunit ribosomal RNA", at positions 29 to 521 of the family's 1533-position model. The record is from RNAcentral.
AACGAACGCUGGCGGCAUGCCUAACACAUGCAAGUCGAACGAGACCUUCGGGUCUAGUGGCGCACGGGUGCGUAACGCGUGGGAAUCUGCCCUUGGGUCCGGAAUAACUCAGAGAAAUUUGAGCUAAUACCGGAUGAUGACGUAAGUCCAAAGAUUUAUCGCCCAGGGAUGAGCCCGCGUAGGAUUAGCUAGUUGGUGAGGUAAAGGCUCACCAAGGCGACGAUCCUUAGCGGUCUGAGAGGAUGAUCAGCCACACUGGGACUGAGACACGGCCCAGACUCCUACGGGAGGCAGCAGUGGGGAAUAUUGGACAAUGGGCGAAAGCCUGAUCCAGCAAUGCCGCGUGAGUGAUGAAGGCCUUAGGUUGUAAAGCUCUUUUACCCGGGAUGAUAAUGACAGUACCGGGAGAAUAAGCCCCGCUAACUCCGUGCCAGCCGCCGCAGU